GCCAGGGGGAGCGGGCUCUGGCCCUCGCCCGCAUGCGCCAGGCCGGGGCCUUCCUAAGCACCUGCGAGAGCGUCCUGCUGCUGCUGCUGCGCGACGCCGCCCACCCCAAAUUCCGACAGAUCCUGCCACUGAUCAAGGAGCCCCCGCCGGACACAGGGCUGAUUCUGGGGGGGCCCCUGGGUGUGCUGGGGGGGCUCUGAGACCCCUCAAAUCCCCCAGAAUCAACCCAAAAAUCCUCCUCAGCCUGGUGGGGGUCUGAGGUCCCCAAGUCCCCCUGAAAAUUCCCUCCAAAUUAACCCCAAAAUCUCCUGAAAAUCCCCCAAAAUUGUGCCUGGUCUGGGGAGUCUCAGAGCCCCCAAAUCCCCCCAAUAUGGGGGGUCUAUAAACGCUGCCCCCCUUCCCCGA
Non-coding RNA from Cyanistes caeruleus (blue tit), 405 nucleotides. NCBI's taxonomy places the organism in Eukaryota, Metazoa, Chordata, Aves, Passeriformes, Paridae. The record is from RefSeq and is a predicted model, not a curated record.